UGACGAGCGGCGGACGGGUGAGUAAUGUCUGGGAAACUGCCUGAUGGAGGGGGAUAACUACUGGAAACGGUAGCUAAUACCGCAUAACGUCGCAAGACCAAAGAGGGGGACCUUCGGGCCUCUUGCCAUCAGAUGUGCCCAGAUGGGAUUAGCUAGUAGGUGGGGUAAUGGCUCACCUAGGCGACGAUCCCUAGCUGGUCUGAGAGGAUGACCAGCCACACUGGAACUGAGACACGGUCCAGACUCCUACGGGAGGCAGCAGUGGGGAAUAUUGCACAAUGGGCGCAAGCCUGAUGCAGCCAUGCCGCGUGUGUGAAGAAGGCCUUCGGGUUGUAAAGCACUUUCAGCGAGGAGGAAGGUGGUGAACUUAAUACGCUCAUCAAUUGACGUUACUCGCAAAAAAACCACCGGCUAACUCCGUGCCAGCAGCCGCGGUAAUACGGAGGGUGCAACCGUUAAUCGAAAUUACUGGGCGUAAAGCCCACGCAGGGGGUUUUGUUAACUCCAAAUGUAAAAUCCCCCGGCUCAACCGGGGAACUGC
This 541-nucleotide ribosomal RNA is filed under the name Serratia marcescens. RNAcentral describes it as "bacterial SSU rRNA". It matches the Rfam family "Bacterial small subunit ribosomal RNA", at positions 89 to 624 of the family's 1533-position model. Lineage: Bacteria; Pseudomonadati; Pseudomonadota; Gammaproteobacteria; Enterobacterales; Yersiniaceae. The record is from RNAcentral.